Molecule: small nucleolar RNA, 132 nt
Filed under: Carlito syrichta (Philippine tarsier)
Lineage: Eukaryota; Metazoa; Chordata; Mammalia; Primates; Tarsiidae
Description: Small nucleolar RNA SNORA69 (ENSTSYG00000021079.2)
Rfam family: Small nucleolar RNA SNORA69
About the family: U69 is a member of the H/ACA class of small nucleolar RNAs (snoRNAs) which act as guides in the the modification of uridines to pseudouridines.
Source: Rfam by way of RNAcentral
AAAGUAGGCUGCCAUUAUAGUACUUCAUUUUGUGGAAGUACUGUCAUUACCCUGAUGAAAGAAAAGCUGUGUUCAUCAUUUUUUAUUUUGCCUUUAUUAGGUUAAAGUCAUGACAGAUUGACAUGAACAAUU